CAACCUGCCCACCACUUGGGGAUAACCUUGCGAAAGUAAGACUAAUACCCAAUGAUAUCUCUAGAAGACAUCUGAAAGAGAUUAAAGAUUUAUCGGUGAUGGAUGGGGAUGCGUCUGAUUAGCUUGUUGGCGGGGUAACGGCCCACCAAGGCAACGAUCAGUAGGGGUUCUGAGAGGAAGGUCCCCCACAUUGGAACUGAGACACGGUCCAAACUCCUACGGGAGGCAGCAGUGAGGAAUAUUGGUCAAUGGACGAGAGUCUGAACCAGCCAAGUAGCGUGCAGGAUGACGGCCCUAUGGGUUGUAAUCUGCUUUUAUAAGGGAAUAAAGUGAGUCUCGUGAGACUUUUUGCAUGUACCUUAUGAAUAAGGACCGGCUAAUUCCGUGCCAGCAGCCGCGGUAAUACGGAAGGUCCGGGUGUUAUCCGGAUUUAUUGGGUUUAAAGGGAGCGUAGGCCGGAGAUUAAGCGUGUUGUGAAAUGUAGACGCUCAACGUCUGCGCUGCAGCGCGAACUGGUUUCCUUGAGUACGCACAAAGUGGGCGGAAUUCGUGGUGUAGCGGUGAAAUGCUUAGAUAUCACGAAGAACUCCGAUUG
Molecule: ribosomal RNA, 595 nt
Filed under: uncultured Bacteroidota bacterium
Lineage: Bacteria; Pseudomonadati; Bacteroidota
Description: bacterial SSU rRNA
Rfam family: Bacterial small subunit ribosomal RNA
Source: RNAcentral